CUGAUCCUGACGACAAAGGAGCAAAACUGGCGGGACUUCGUGGGACGGCACAAGGAUGAUCCAUGGGGGCACGUAUACCGAAUAUGCCGAGGCCGGAAGAAGACAACCGAUCUCGGAUGUCUCCGGUCGAACGGCGCGCUUUCCGUAACGUGGCACGACUGCGCAAAUAUGCUCCUCCGCAACUUCUUCCCUGUUGCGGAGUCGACAACACGAGAUGACUUACCCCCUGGUACCCCACCGAUCCUCGAAGCCUUCGAGGUGGCUACCAGCGUCGCAAGGCUGAGAAGCCGGCGAUCGCCGGGUAUGGAUGGCAUCACGGGCGGUAUUGUCAAGGAGGUAUGGCGUGCCAUCCCCCAGCACCUGACGAAGCUGUACUCUCGGUGCCUCUCGGAAGGAUACUUUCCGGCCGAGUGGAAGCACCCGAGAGUGAUACCGCUGGUAAAGGGGCCAGAUAAGGACAGGAGCGAUCCUGCCUCUUAUCGUGGCAUAUGCCUUUUGCCAGUGUUCGGGAAGGCGCUGGAAGGAAUCAUGGUGAAUCGACUGAAGGAUGUGCUACCGGAUGGCUGCAGAUGGCAAUUCGGAUUCAGGCCUGGACGCUGCGUGGAGGAUGCGUGGAUGCACGCCAAAAACACCGUCGCCAACAGCCGCGAGAGGAGAGUCCUUGGAAUCUUUGUCGACUUCAAGGGAGCUUUCGACAACGUGGAGUGGAGUGCGGUGCUGGAUCGGCUUGUCGACGUAGGCUGUCGAGAAAUCGACUUGUGGAAAAGCUAUUUCUCCGGCCGGAGCGCAAGCAUCAUCAGCAGGUAUGAAGCGGCCACAGUUGCGGUUACACGUGGCUGCCCGCAAGGGUCUGUCAGUGGCCCAUUUAUUUGGAACCUACUGAUGGAUGUGCUGCUUCAGCGCUUGGAGCCACAUUGUGCUCUGAGCGCGUUUGCAGAUGAUCUUCUGCUUUUCGUCGACGGGAAUUCCCGUGCCGAUCUGGAGCGGAAGGGCGAGCAGUUAAUGGACAUCGUGGGAGCCUGGGGAGCUGAGGUUGGAGUGAGUGUGUCAACCAGCAAGACGGCAAUAAUGUUGCUGAAAGGACAGCUUUCACGCACGAGGAGACCGACGGUACGGUUUGCUGGAGCAAGCCUGCCUUACGUCACCAAAUGCCGGUACCUUGGCAUCUUAGUUGGCGAGCGGUUGAGCUUUCUCCCGCAUAUCUCUGCUCUCAGAGAUCGGCUGGCUGGAGUUGCCGGAGCCGCUAAGGAGUGUGUAACAACUCACCUGCCGAAGCAACUAGCCCUUAAAAUGGAUGGCGCUUAAGUUGUAUACCUAUACAUUACCGCUAAAGUAGAUGAUUUAUAUUACUUGUGAUAUAAAUUUUGAAACUUUAGUGAGUAGGAAGGUACAAUGGUAUGCGUAGAAGUGUUUGGCGCAAGCCUGCAUGGAGCUGCCAUUGGUACAGAUCUUGGUGGUAGUAGCAAAUAAUCGAAUGAGACCUUGGAGGACUGAAGUGGAGAAGGGUUUCGUGUGAACAGUGGUUGAUCACGAGUUAGUCGGUCCUAAGUUCAAGGCGAAAGCCGAAAAUUUUCAAGUAAAACACAAAUGCCAUACAAAUAUAUUAUAUUAUAUAAAUCAAGCUAAUUAAUAUACUUGAAUAAUUUUGAACGAAAGGGAAUACGGUUCCAAUUCCGUAACCUGUUGAGUAUCCGUUUGUUAUUAAAUAUGGGCCUCGUGCUCAUCCUGGCAACAGGAACGACCAUAAAGAAGCCGUCGAGAGAUAUCGGAAGAGUUUUCUUUUCUGUUUUAUAGCCGUACUACCAUGGAAGUCUUUCGCAGAGAGGUAUGGUAGAUGGGCUAGAAGAGCAUGACAUAUACUGUUGUGUCGAUAUUUUCUCCUCGGACCUUGAAAAUUUAUGGUGGGGCCACGCAAACUUCUCAACAGGCCGUACCAAUAUCCGCAGCUGGUCUCCAAGGUGAAGAGUCUCUAGUCGAUAGAAUAAUGUAGGUAAGGGAAGUCGGCAAAUUAGAUCCGUAACUUCGGGAUAAGGAUUGGCUCUGAAGAUUGAGAUAGUCGGGCUUGAUUGGGAAACAAUAACAUGGUUUAUGUGCUCGUUCUGGGUAAAUAGAGUGUCUGGCAUUUAUGUUGGUCACUUGUUCCCCGGAUAGUUUAGUUACGUAGCCAAUUGUGGAACUUUCUUGCUAAAAUUUUUAAGAAUACUAAUUGGGUUAAACCAAUUAGUUCUUAUUAAUUAUAACGAUUAUCAAUUAACAAUCAAUUCAGAACUGGCACGGACUUGGGGGAUCCGACUGUCUAAUUAAAACAAAGCAUUGUGAUGGCCCUAGCGGGUGUUGACACAAUGUGAUUUCUGCCCAGUGCUCUGAAUGUCAAAGUGAAGAAAUUCAAGUAAGCGCGGGUCAACGGCGGGAGUAACUAUUACUCUCUUAAGGUAGCCAAAUGCCUCGUCAUCUAAUUAGUGACGCGUAUGAAUGGAUUAACGAGAUUCCUACUGUCCCUAUCUUCUAUCUAGCGAAACCACAGCCAAGGGAACGGGCUUGGAAUAAUUAGCGGGGAAAGAAGACCCUUUUGAGCUUGACUCUAAUCUGGCAGUGUAAGGAGACAUAAGAGGUGUAGAAUAAGUGGGAGAUAUUAGACCUCGGUUUGGUAUCGUCAAUGAAAUACCACUACUCUUAUUGUUUCCUUACUUACUUGAUUAAAUGGAACGUGUAUCAUUUCCUAGCCAUUAUACGGAUAUAUUUAUUAUAUCUUAUGGUAUUGGGUUUUGAUGCAAGCUUCUUGAUCAAAGUAUCACGAGUUUGUUAUAUAAUCGCAAACAAAUUCUUUAAUAAAACGGUGCAUUUAUGUAUUUUUGAUUUGAAAAUUUGGUAUAACUCCAAUUACUCAGGUAUGAUCCAAUUCAAGGACAUUGCCAGGUAGGGAGUUUGACUGGGGCGGUACAUCUCUCAAAUAAUAACGGAGGUGUCCCAAGGCCAGCUCAGUGCGGACAGAAACCACACCUAGAGCAAAAGGGCAAAUGCUGACUUGAUCUCGGUGUUCAGUACACACAGGGACAGCAAAAGCUCGGCCUAUCGAUCCUUUUGGUUUAAAGAGUUUUUAACAAGAGGUGUCAGAAAAGUUACCAUAGGGAUAACUGGCUUGUGGCGGCCAAGCGUUCAUAGCGACGUCGCUUUUUGAUCCUUCGAUGUCGGCUCUUCCUAUCAUUGUGAAGCAAAAUUCACCAAGCGUUGGAUUGUUCACCCAUGCAAGGGAACGUGAGCUGGGUUUAGACCGUCGUGAGACAGGUUAGUUUUACCCUACUAAUGACAAAACGUUGUUGCGACAGCAUUCCUGCGUAGUACGAGAGGAACCGCAGGUACGGACCAAUGGCACAAUACUUGUUCGAGCGAACA
This 3393-nucleotide ribosomal RNA is filed under the name Drosophila suzukii. Its description in RNAcentral is "eukaryotic LSU rRNA". The stretch from base 777 to 3393 matches the Rfam family "Eukaryotic large subunit ribosomal RNA". The record is from RNAcentral. Lineage: Eukaryota; Metazoa; Arthropoda; Insecta; Diptera; Drosophilidae.